ACAAUGCAAGAACAAUUGUUGAAUCUGUAUCUGUUGUUAAAUUAGAUUGUUUUAGGUUUUAUUGCUAGGAUUUAAGGUCUAUUACACGGAUUUACCCCUGGUAAAUUGGAUUUUCGGAAGUGAAAAACCCAAUUUCUAAUUUUUCAAAGUUUAAGUCCAAUUAUUUCUUGGUAGUUUCGGUUUUUUGUGUGGACGAGAAGGACGAGAUUUUGCUAUUUUCGAAGAUGUCAAAUUGCAAUUUAGAGCAAAAGAGUUUUUUUUUUUCAUCAAUUAAGUUUGUGUCAUGAAAUUAAACUUUGUUAUGAUAUUCUGAUUGCCAAGUAUUUGAUGUUGAAGAGUAGAAACUGCUGAAACUCUCGAAAUCGCAAACACUUUAGCUCUGGCAGCUUAAGCGAUAUUUCGAAGCUUGAUUCUUUCUUACUAAAACCACAGUUAUAGGAUGAUAUUGCAAUAGGGAAUCGAUUUUGGUAAAACUAAUUUUGAUAUUAAGGGAGCAGAUACAUUGUAGCUAGUCGUGAUUUGAGCUUUUUUUUUUUUUCUCUGACAAUAUCAGAAAUAGCUUUGGCAGUAUCAAUUUCCAUUGCAAUAUUUUUUAAUUGCUUGACUUGUUUAAUGUUACGUGCUUAAGGUUUAUAGUGCCUGCCCAAAUUUAUGGCAGCACCUACUACCAUGUAUGUUACAUAUUAUCUAGUAAAGAAUAAACUAAGAUGCAAAUUGAUGAUAGAGUUUUAGCCAUCUCUUAGAGAAGAUUUGUUGAAUAGGGUGAGGGAUUUAUAGAAUUAUUUGGUUGAAAUGUUAGAGGGUUAUCAGCUUGGAAUUAGUAAUCAGAAGUGUGUUAAGAUAAGUUUAUGAAGGGCCAGAAAAGAGAUUGUACUAACAAAGGGUUUGGAUUUGACUUAAUAAGACAUGCUGAAAUCUUCGGAGCACAAGUAAAUUCUCUUCUGCCCACUUAUAUUAGGUAUACUAACACUGCUAUCUACUACAAUACCAGAAUGUAAGGAGGAGUCCACUUGCUCGACACAUCUGACGAACCAAGAAAUUAGGCACUAAUUAGCAUCAAAAGAUCAUGGCAAAGCACCACCCAGACCUCAUCAUGUGCCGAAAGCAGCCUGGCAUCGCCAUUGGCCGCCUGUGCGAGAAGUGCGAUGGAAAAUGCGUGAUCUGCGAUUCUUAUGUGCGGCCUUGCACGCUCGUACGCGUAUGUGACGAGUGUAAUUACGGCUCUUUCCAGGGCCGUUGUGUAAUUUGUGGUGGGGUUGGGAUCUCUGACGCCUACUACUGCAAAGAGUGCACGCAGCAGGAGAAGGAUCGGGACGGGUGCCCUAAGAUUGUCAACCUGGGGAGCGCGAAGACCGACCUCUUCUACGAGAGGAAGAAAUAUGGCUUCAAGAAGAGAUGAUCUUUUAAUAUUUGAUUUAAUAUGUUUAGUGCGAGUUUUUCCUAAUUGAGCAACAAAAGAAGAGAAGAGAAAAAAAGGAGAAUCUGUGUGUCAGCAUGCCGUCAUCCAAUUGCCGUAAUAUACAGAGAUGACACAAGUUAUUUAGGAGGAAGGUAAAAAUCAUUCAAAUAUCAUUAUUGCAAUUUAAGUGGACAGGAUAUCUUAGCAAAUAACAUGAUAAUUACAUCUGCAUAUCAUCCAUCUGUGGCUGUGACUCACAAUGUAAUGGUCGUUCGAGUUUUUUCUUUGGUACGUCUUGGACUUAUGUUAAAAACUAGCUACUUUGAGCUCAAAAUGUUGAUAUAAGAAAUCUAAAGAUUCAUGUACAAUUUUCUGACAGUAGGGCAAUACUUCUGGUUCUUCGAAAUCUCUGCUUCUCUUUCUGUGCAAAUAUAGAUGACUACGGAGAGCAGAAACAAGAACAAGACUAAAGUGCCAUUAAAUAUAGGAUUCUCAUACCGCUAUUACAUGCUCUCUCCCCUGCAUAGCAUUGUUUGCGCCUAUGGAGGGGCUCUCUCGAUGAAUACAGAAACUUGUGUACCUACACUACAUUAGCAUUGAUCAUAUAUUCUAAUAAAGUUUUUAACAACACAUCAUGUGACCUCAAAGGUAUAAUCAAUGAGCUAUACUAUGGCAGUAAAUCCAGCUACAAUGCCAUUACUCAGAACACUCUUGGUGGAGAACCUGCUACUGAGAAUGCUUCAAUGAAAGUAUCAGUCUACUGAGCAUAUCACAAACAGGUCAAAGAAGAGUGCGACUUUCGCACUGAGGCCAUUUACAUGCUUUGUUACUCCAGUUCUGUGUCCAAUUUGUUGUCUACUGUGUUGAUACACAAAAAGAGAAGUUGCAAUGCACCAGUAAAAGUUCUAUAGUACUAUCCUGGUACAAUUUGUUCUCAAUGUGGACUUACUAUGGUGGCAGGAGCACAAUGGCAUCAAAAGAAGUGGAAUAUGCUUGCAAGUUGCCAUUUGAAUGUUUUCUCCUAUUUUUGUAAGAUUAUCCUAUUUCACUAUGCAUUGAGCACUUUGUUUCUAAGAGCUUCAUGCAACUGUGUAUUUAUGUAGCAAAAUCUGAUACUUAAGCAUAGUGAUAUGCCAAAGGUAACCAGUGUGCAUGUUUCCUCUCUAA
Molecule: RNA transcript, 2566 nt
Organism: Ananas comosus (pineapple)
Lineage: Eukaryota; Viridiplantae; Streptophyta; Magnoliopsida; Poales; Bromeliaceae
Gene name: PHD finger-like domain-containing protein 5B
Exons: 6
Source: RefSeq, a predicted model, not a curated record